GCCAGCUCAUCUGAAGGCUUCCAGAAGGCAGAAGGCAGAUGAGGGAGGAGAGGAAAGUCGGAUGCUGCAAUUAACGGCCUGGACAGAGGAUGGGGACAUGAAUAAUGGUAGAGUCCAGCAUUAGCACAACACUCCAUUCAUCACUGCUGAAGGGCAAAUGCAUAACCCUCAAAAUGAUCCUGGAAAGAGGAAAAGGGAGAGGAAUUGCAAGUUCCAUGGAACAGUGAUUUACCAUGCAGCAGAGGAUGUGAGCAUCUCCGAAAUAGAAGGGUCCACAUAUUUUGAACUUUAACAUAUAUAAUGAUACUUAUAAUGUGACUGUUACGGGCAGCUGAUUUUUCAUACAAUUGACAUGUGAGUAUUUUCCAGGCAGGCAUCUUAUUUCCUGUGUAUGUGCCCCCUAUUUAUGCAGGACCAUCAACAGGACCAACAUUGAGUAGAAAUCAGUCACAGCAAACCACUUUCCUUUUUAUUUCAUGUACUCUGUACCCUCCUUUAAUGGCAACAUAAUUGCAUCAUAUCAUUGGUUUGUAGUGUGGAGGCUGUGGGUCUGAUUUUUAGUUUCCCAAUCCGUGCAGAAUAUUCAGAAGAAUAGAGGGUUGGAGACCUCUAGUUCAGGUCAAAAUCAGUGUGAAAGGCUUGACUUUGGAAAGGGUAAAGAGAGUUCAAUUUAAACUGAGUCUCCAGCUAGGGGCAGGGAGAGGAAAGAGGAGUUAGUCUCCCACAAGAGGAGACUAGCAUAAUCUUUGUGCCCUAAUUAGGCAUCCUUGGGCUUAGGGAAUUACUAGGGGAUACGGGAGUGUAAUGCAGGAAAACCAAGGCAGAAGUCAUGUCCGAGAGUCUGGAUCAAUCCUUCAGGGCAGGGGGUGGAGCAAGGGAAGAAAGGGGAGCUGUGCCAAGGGGUCUACCAGUGGGCCCAGGGCAGAUCCCAAGUCCAUAAGCAAUAGGAUCAGGUCCAGGUACCACCUUCUUGAAAUCUGAGGCUGCUGCUGUACUUCCUGCCCCUGCUACCUUGGGCCUGGGGCUGUAAAUGUCAUCAGAUAGUCCACCUGGAAGGGCCUGUGGAAAGCAAAAUCAGAGAAACAAGGCAGGAGCUGGCCACUUGUGAAAUUUUUCCUGGAAACUCUGUCAUGGAAUCAUGUUUUAGAUACCAGAAGGAAGGGCUGCUCUGACUAACUGACCAUGAAUCGGAGAAGAGGCCUGCGAUGAUCUAGGCAGUGGGUUAUGGGAGAGGAAUGGAAAACUGCAGAAUGGAUUCUCCAGCCCAUUCAGCGCUCAUACUACAUGGGCAUGUUCACAGACCUGCAGGCUUUGCCUUUGUCUGUCUCCCUGCUUUUGGAAGGGAUGGCACAGCUUUGCCCCCUUUCCUGGAGGCACAGUAGUCUGACUUGAGUCUUUCGCUGUCUUCUGUAUCCAACUCAUUCAUGAAAUUAUAUGAGAUAAUUUCCAAAUAAGUGACUUUUUUGGCUUAUUUGCCCAAUUGACUUAAUUAUUGCCGGUUUAUUCUUCUUGUUUUGGAUUCCUUGAGCUGAGAGAGUGAAAAAGGGAGUUUAUUUAAGAAGAUAAGGACAGAUUAGGUUUUCAAUUUGGUGGUAUGAUGCAGUCUGCUUUCUUAACUCUAUUAUGACCUAUUUAGUGUUUGUUUUUCUCUUAUUGUGGAAGUAACAUAUGCUGAUUAUAGAGAUAUAGAAAAAGAUAAAAAGUAUCCAUUUCAAUUGACCAAUAAUGUCCUCUCAGCAAUUUGGUGUAUAUCAUGUAUUUUUAAAUAAACAGAUUGCUUUGUAAAUACACUUUAUAUCUUACUGUUGUAACAUUAAAAAAAAGGUGGUUAAAAUGGCGAGCAAGUGCAGAACAGCAGCACUUGGAAAGUAAGCUGGGGAUGGCAAAAGCCUCAAUUUCUGUUUCCACAAAGCACUCUGUUCUCUUUGUUGAUCACUGAGACCCAGAAGCUACCAUCUCCAGUGGAACUGGAACCUUUGUUUUUCUUGAUCUCUGCAUCGUGUGGCUCAGCCCCGGUUGGAACUGAAGCUUGGAAUAAAGCCACAGUGAGCUGGGUCACACUGUUUCUUAGACUUCCCCCCACAGUACCUUGUUUGGAGAGAAUUAUAACUGAAAGGGAAAAAAUUCCCUCUGGCAAGAAACUUGGCUUAGAAAUGCUCAUUUGGAGAAGCUUAUUAUUAUUAUUAUUUUUUGGUUUUGCUGUUUAAAUAAGGUCACUGCUAUAAAUCAAUGUUUGUGAGUGUUAGAGAAGACCAAGUAAAUAAAUAAAGCCCUACGUAUUUAUUGUAAACAGAAACACCCUAGAGGUUCUCCAGGGGAAGAGAGAGUGAGAGAAAGGUCACCAUUUCUUGCAUACAGAAAAUUAACUGUUUCAUUAGUUUAGAUAGAAACACAUUUUUUCUUUAAAAUUAGUUAUGAGGAAAAUAUUUCCAAGUUUGUGCCUCUUAUUAGGUGUAUGAAGUAUCAAAAAUAUUAAGUACAACUAACAGCAUUAGGACUUGUUCUCACCUCAACUCCAUCAUCUGAAUAAAACCACUGAAAAAGAGAAAAACAGCUCCUGACGUAAGGAAACUGGCCUGAUAUUUACAUCUAGUUCAUAGUGUUUGCCUGUUGGACACAAAUGAUCUCAUAGAACAUCAACAACAGACCAAGGCACUCUGACUAUAAUGGAGUGAGAGAAAAAACAAGUGAGACAAGACAACUUCAAAAUUUUGUCUAAGCACAGGCAAAACCAAAUGACCCAAAUACCAGACAUCCUCCUCUCUUGGCUAACAUGAGUGACUAUCAAAGCUUUAGCCUCUAUGUGUUCCUCUUGACUUAUAGAGAAGAUUCAUUAGGAUACUGAUAUGGUUUGGCUCUGUAUCCUCACCCAAAUCUCAUCUUGUAGCUCCCAGAAUUCCCACGUGUUAUGGGAGGGACCCAGUGGGAGAUAAUUGAGUCAUGAGGGCGGGUCUUUCCUGUGCUGUUCUCGUGAUAAUAAAUAAGUCUCAUGAGAUCUGAAGGUUUUAAAAAUGGGAGUUUCCCUGCACAAGUUCUCUUCUCUUGUCUGCUGCCAUGUGAGAUGUGCCUUUCACCUUCUGCUGUGAUUGUGAGGCCUUCCCAGCCACAUGGAACUGUAAGUCCAAU
RNAcentral lists this long non-coding RNA (3126 nucleotides) under Homo sapiens (human). RNAcentral describes it as "HSALNT0148068". Lineage: Eukaryota; Metazoa; Chordata; Mammalia; Primates; Hominidae. The record is from RNAcentral.